RNAcentral lists this ribosomal RNA (479 nucleotides) under uncultured archaeon. RNAcentral's name for it is "bacterial SSU rRNA". It matches the Rfam family "Archaeal small subunit ribosomal RNA", at positions 1 to 480 of the family's 1478-position model. The record is from RNAcentral.
UUCGCCCUUCGGUUGAUCCUGCCGGAGGUCACUGCUAUCGAGGUCCGACUAAGCCAUGCGAGUCGAAUGCCGCAAGGACCGGCGGACUGCUCAGUAACACGUGGAUAACCUACCCUUGGGCCGGGUAUAAACCCGGGAAACUGGGUAUAAUACCCGAUAGAUCUAGAUGGCUGAAAUGCGUCUAGAUUCAAAGCUCCGACGCCCAAGGAUGCCUCUGCGGCCUAUCAGGUUGUAGUGCGUGUAAUGUACCUACUAGCCUAAUACGGGUACGGGUUGUGAGAGCAAGAGCCCGGAGAUGUAUUCUGAGACACGAAUCCAGGCCCUACGGGGCGCAGCAGGCGCGAAACCUUUACAAUGCGGGCAACCGCGAUAAGGGGACCUCGAGUGCCGACAUCUAAUGUCGGCUGUCGUGAUGCCUAAAAAGCAUUAUAUAGCAAGGGCCGGGCUAGACCGGUGCCAGCCGCCGCGAUAACACCGGC